This 274-nucleotide ribosomal RNA is filed under the name uncultured bacterium. RNAcentral's name for it is "partial 16S ribosomal RNA". It matches the Rfam family "Bacterial small subunit ribosomal RNA", at positions 523 to 796 of the family's 1533-position model. The record is from RNAcentral.
ACACGUAGGAGGCAAGCGUUAUCCGGAUUUACUGGGCGUAAAGCGCGUGCAGGCGGUCUGGUAAGUUGGAUGUGAAAGCUCCCGGCUCAACUGGGAGAGGUCGUUCAAAACUGCCGGACUCGAGGACGGUAGAGGGAGGUGGAAUUCCCGGUGUAGUGGUGAAAUGAGUAGAUAUCGGGAGGAACACCAGUGGCGAAGGCGGCCUCCUGGGCCGUUCCUGACGCUAAGACGCGAAAGCGUGGGGAGCGAACGGGAUUAGAAACCCUAGUAGUCC